AGAACGCUGAAGAGAGGAGCUUGCUCUUCUUGGAUGAGUUGCGAACGGGUGAGUAACGCGUAGGUAACCUGCCUUGUAGCGGGGGAUAACUAUUGGAAACGAUAGCUAAUACCGCAUAACAAUGGAUGACACAUGUCAUUUAUUUGAAAGGGGCAAUUGCUCCACUACAAGAUGGACCUGCGUUGUAUUAGCUAGUAGGUGAGGUAACGGCUCACCUAGGCGACGAUACAUAGCCGACCUGAGAGGGUGAUCGGCCACACUGGGACUGAGACACGGCCCAGACUCCUACGGGAGGCAGCAGUAGGGAAUCUUCGGCAAUGGGGGCAACCCUGACCGAGCAACGCCGCGUGAGUGAAGAAGGUUUUCGGAUCGUAAAGCUCUGUUGUAAGUCAAGAACGAGUGUGAGAGUGGAAAGUUCACACUGUGACGGUAGCUUACCAGAAAGGGACGGCUAACUACGUGCCAGCAGCCGCGGUAAUACGUAGGUCCCGAGCGUUGUCCGGAUUUAUUGGGCGUAAAGCGAGCGCAGGCGGUUUGAUAAGUCUGAAGUUAAAGGCUGUGGCUCAACCAUAGUUCGCUUUGGAAACUGUCAAACUUGAGUGCAGAAGGGGAGAGUGGAAUUCCAUGUGUAGCGGUGAAAUGCGUAGAUAUAUGGAGGAACACCGGUGGCGAAAGCGGCUCUCUGGUCUGUAACUGACGCUGAGGCUCGAAAGCGUGGGGAGCGAACAGGAUUAGAUACCCUGGUAGUCCACGCCGUAAACGAUGAGUGCUAGGUGUUGGAUCCUUUCCGGGAUUCAGUGCCGCAGCUAACGCAUUAAGCACUCCGCCUGGGGAGUACGACCGCAAGGUUGAAACUCAAAGGAAUUGACGGGGGCCCGCACAAGCGGUGGAGCAUGUGGUUUAAUUCGAAGCAACGCGAAGAACCUUACCAGGUCUUGACAUCCCGAUGCUAUUUCUAGAGAUAGAAAGUUACUUCGGUACAUCGGUGACAGGUGGUGCAUGGUUGUCGUCAGCUCGUGUCGUGAGAUGUUGGGUUAAGUCCCGCAACGAGCGCAACCCCUAUUGUUAGUUGCCAUCAUUCAGUUGGGCACUCUAGCGAGACUGCCGGUAAUAAACCGGAGGAAGGUGGGGAUGACGUCAAAUCAUCAUGCCCCUUAUGACCUGGGCUACACACGUGCUACAAUGGUUGGUACAACGAGUUGCGAGUCGGUGACGGCAAGCUAAUCUCUUAAAGCCAAUCUCAGUUCGGAUUGUAGGCUGCAACUCGCCUACAUGAAGUCGGAAUCGCUAGUAAUCGCGGAUCAGCACGCCGCGGUGAAUACGUUCCCGGGCCUUGUACACACCGCCCGUCACACCACGAGAGUUUGUAACACCCGAAGUCGGUGAGGUAACCUUUUGGAGCCAGCC
This 1407-nucleotide ribosomal RNA is filed under the name Streptococcus salivarius. RNAcentral describes it as "bacterial SSU rRNA". It matches the Rfam family "Bacterial small subunit ribosomal RNA". Lineage: Bacteria; Bacillati; Bacillota; Bacilli; Lactobacillales; Streptococcaceae. The record is from RNAcentral.